UCUAAUAUGGCAGAUUAGUGCAAUAGAUUUAAGAUCUAUAAAUAAAAUUAAAAUUUUUAUUAGAA
This 65-nucleotide transfer RNA is filed under the name Micadina phluctainoides. Its description in RNAcentral is "tRNA-Leu". It matches the Rfam family "tRNA". Rfam says of the family: Transfer RNA (tRNA) molecules are approximately 80 nucleotides in length. Their secondary structure includes four short double-helical elements and three loops (D, anti-codon, and T loops). Further hydrogen bonds mediate the characteristic L-shaped molecular structure. tRNAs have two regions of fundamental functional importance: the anti-codon, which is responsible for specific mRNA codon recognition, and the 3' end, to which the tRNAs corresponding amino acid is attached (by aminoacyl-tRNA synthetases). tRNAs cope with the degeneracy of the genetic code in two manners: having more than one tRNA (with a specific anti-codon) for a particular amino acid; and 'wobble' base-pairing, i.e. permitting non-standard base-pairing at the 3rd anti-codon position. Lineage: Eukaryota; Metazoa; Arthropoda; Insecta; Phasmatodea; Lonchodidae. The record is from RNAcentral.